RNAcentral lists this ribosomal RNA (272 nucleotides) under uncultured Lactobacillus sp. RNAcentral's name for it is "partial 16S ribosomal RNA". It matches the Rfam family "Bacterial small subunit ribosomal RNA", at positions 266 to 525 of the family's 1533-position model. The record is from RNAcentral. Lineage: Bacteria; Bacillati; Bacillota; Bacilli; Lactobacillales; Lactobacillaceae.
UACCAAGGCGAUGAUACAUAGCCCGAGUUGAGAGACUGAUCGGCCACAUUGGGGACUGAGACACGGGCCCAAACUCCUACGGGAGGCAGCAGUAGGGAAUCUUCCACAAUGGACGCAAGUCUGAUGGAGCAAACGCCGCGUGAGUGAAGAAGGGUUUCGGCUCGUAAAGCUCUGUUGUUGGUGAAGAAGGACAGGGGUAGUAACUGACCCUUUGUUUGACGGUAAUCAAUUAGAAAGUCACGGCUAACUACGUGCCAGCAGCCGCAGUAAAU